UUGGCCCCAAUCAAGACCAGCAGCUUGUAGUAGCUGUUCGUUUCAACGGGAGCCUAGAUAAACAGCUUCCUGUGGUCUGUUGAUUUGUUUCCCAGAAAACAAAGGAGCUAAUCAAUUCAGUUGGAAGGAACAAAA
Molecule: small nucleolar RNA, 135 nt
Organism: Astatotilapia calliptera (eastern happy)
Lineage: Eukaryota; Metazoa; Chordata; Actinopteri; Cichliformes; Cichlidae
Source: Ensembl